GCAGUCGAACGAGUUCUGAUUAUUGAAAGGUGCUUGCAUCUUGAUUUAAUUUUGAACGAGUGGCGGACGGGUGAGUAACACGUGGGUAACCUGCCCUUAAGUGGGGGAUAACAUUUGGAAACAGAUGCUAAUACCGCAUAAAUCCAAGAACCGCAUGGUUCUUGGCUGAAAGAUGGCGUAAGCUAUCGCUUUUGGAUGGACCCGCGGCGUAUUAGCUAGUUGGUGAGGUAACGGCUCACCAAGGCAAUGAUACGUAGCCGAACUGAGAGGUUGAUCGGCCACAUUGGGACUGAGACACGGCCCAAACUCCUACGGGAGGCAGCAGUAGGGAAUCUUCCACAAUGGACGCAAGUCUGAUGGAGCAACGCCGCGUGAGUGAAGAAGGCUUUCGGGUCGUAAAACUCUGUUGUUGGAGAAGAAUGGUCGGCAGAGUAACUGUUGUCGGCGUGACGGUAUCCAACCAGAAAGCCACGGCUAACUACGUGCCAGCAGCCGCGGUAAUACGUAGGUGGCAAGCGUUAUCCGGAUUUAUUGGGCGUAAAGCGAGCGCAGGCGGUUUUUUAAGUCUGAUGUGAAAGCCCUCGGCUUAACCGAGGAAGUGCAUCGGAAACUGGGAAACUUGAGUGCAGAAGAGGACAGUGGAAC
This 645-nucleotide ribosomal RNA is filed under the name Lacticaseibacillus rhamnosus. Its description in RNAcentral is "bacterial SSU rRNA". It matches the Rfam family "Bacterial small subunit ribosomal RNA", at positions 57 to 667 of the family's 1533-position model. The record is from RNAcentral. Lineage: Bacteria; Bacillati; Bacillota; Bacilli; Lactobacillales; Lactobacillaceae.